CCUACGGGUGGCAGCAGUGGGGAAUAUUGGACAAUGGGGGCAACCCUGAUCCAGCCAUGCCGCGUGUGUGAAGAAGGCCCUCGGGUUGUAAAGCACUUUCAGUGAGGAAGAACGCCUGGUGGUUAAUACCCAUCAGGAAAGACAUCACUCACAGAAGAAGCACCGGCUAACUCCGUGCCAGCAGCCGCGGUAAUACGGAGGGUGCGAGCGUUAAUCGGAAUUACUGGGCGUAAAGCGCGCGUAGGUGGCUUGAUAAGCCGGUUGUGAAAGCCCCGGGCUCAACCUGGGAACGGCAUCCGGAACUGUCAAGCUAGAGUGCAGGAGAGGAAGGUAGAAUUCCCGGUGUAGCGGUGAAAUGCCUAGAGAUCGGGAGGAAUACCAGUGGCGAAGGCGGCCUUCUGGACUGACACUGACACUGAGGUGCGAAAGCGUGGGUAGCAAACAGGAUUAGAUACCCGUGUAGUC
This 465-nucleotide ribosomal RNA is filed under the name Vreelandella stevensii. RNAcentral's name for it is "partial 16S ribosomal RNA". It matches the Rfam family "Bacterial small subunit ribosomal RNA", at positions 338 to 795 of the family's 1533-position model. Lineage: Bacteria; Pseudomonadati; Pseudomonadota; Gammaproteobacteria; Oceanospirillales; Halomonadaceae. The record is from RNAcentral.